CCUAGAAAUGUCCUCAGCCUUGGGUCACUCUCUUCUACCUCUGUACAUUAGUAAUUUAUAUCCUUACUUUUCUUUCCAAAUCUAGCUCCAACAACCUAUUCUAAAAAGCUUUCCCUAAUUGAUUUUAAUUAGUUUUGUUUGUUUGUUUGUUUUUUGAGAUGGGGUUUUGCUCUUGUUGCCCAGGCUGGAGUGCAUUGGCGCCAUCUCGGCUUAUUGCAACCUCUGCCUCCUGGGUUCAAGUGAUUCUCCUGCCUCAGCCUCCUGAGUAGCUGGGACUACAGGCAUGCACCACCACACCCAGCUAACUUUUGUAUUUUUAGUAGAGAUGGGGUUUCUCUGUGUUGGUCGGGCUGGUCUCAAACUCCAGACCUCAGGUGAUCUGCCUGCCUCGGCAUCCCAAAGUGCUGGGAUUACAGACGUGAGCCACUGUGCCUGGCCUAGUGUGGUUUUCAUUUAUUUUAUUUUAUUUAUUUAUUUAUUUUUUUGAGACGGAGUCUCACUCUUUCGCCCAGGCCGGACGCAGUGGCACUAUCUUGGCUCAGUGCAAGCUCCGCCUCCAGGGUUCACACCAUUCUCCUGCCUCAGCCUCCCGGGUAGCUGGGACUACAGGCGCCCACCACCACGCCCAGCUAAUUUUUUGUAUUUUUAGUAGAGACGGGUUUCACCGUGCUAGCCAGGAUGGUCUCGAUCUCCUGACCUAGUGAUCCGCCCACCUUGGCCUCCCCAGGUGCUGGGAUUACAGGCAUGAGCCACCGCGCCCGGCCUGGUUUUAAAUUAAUAUGGUUUACUUGAUAGUUUCAAAGUACUUCUUUUUUUUUUUUUUUUUUUUUUUUUUGAGACAGGCCUCACUCCGUUGCCCAGGCUGGAGUGCAGUGGUGUGAUGACUGAGGCUCACUACAGCUUGGAUCUCCCAGGCUUAGGUGAUCCUCCCAUCUCAGCCUCACACAGAUGCACACCACCACACCCAGCUACUUUUUUAUAUUUUUUUUGUAGAGACGGGGUCUUGCCAUGUUGCCCAGGCUGGUCUCGAACUCCUGUGCUCAAGUGAUCUGCCUGCCUUGGCCUCCAAGAGUGCUGGGAUUACAGCUCCGACUCAGAUUUUGAACGGAUGUUUGCAUGUAUACCACAGUGCUACAUUAAAAACCAGUCAUGUGGAUGUGGAGAAGGGUGCUGAUCAGGACUCCCUGUUUGCUAACAAAUUCUACAGCAGAAACAAAGUAUUAAGGUUUGCAGCCAGGAAGCAAGUGCAUGGGGAAUAAGCCUGCAGCUUCUUCCAAAUGAGACAGAGCCAAAUCUUUUUUCUGAGUCUGUUUUCUUCAUUUCUAUUAAACCAAGGUCCUUUUUAAGCAGUCGAAUUUCAUCCAAA
This is a long non-coding RNA of Homo sapiens (human), 1366 nucleotides long. RefSeq annotates it as CNPY2 antisense RNA 1. The transcript is spliced from 2 exons. The record is from RefSeq and is a predicted model, not a curated record. Lineage: Eukaryota; Metazoa; Chordata; Mammalia; Primates; Hominidae.